GAGAGGAGGUUGUAGUCGAAGCCGCACACAGGCGCCGCCACCACCGUCACCCUCUAGAGGAGACGCUGCCGCUUCAUCGACGGACUCAUCUGGUACAAGGAGAUCAUCAAAAUGCAUCACACUCAUGAUCAUCAAAACGCAACAGCAGGAGCAAAUACAAGUUUAGCCCACCAUGAACAGGGGCACUAGGCAAUCUAGUAGCAAUGUCAUAUAUCUCUACUAUUAAAGGGGGAUCGAACGUCGUGAUGGUUCGACCUCCUUCGAUCCCCCCCUCCCUUCGAUCUCGCACACGCACGCAGCAGCCCACCAACUCAGCCCACGUACGCAAAAUCACCAACUCAGCCCCCACCAACUCAGCCCACGUACGAGAUCGAGAUCCACAGUCCAACACACAAACUCAGCGCCCACCAACUCAGCCCACGUACGAGAUCCAGAUCCACAGUUCAACACACGAACGAGAACACACGAACAAGAAGUCCAUGGAACCCCACGAUCGCCACGAACGAGGACGAGGUCCAUCGACCAAAAAUCAAACUUCUUCGACCCGCCAACGAACGCCAGUUCUUCCUGGCGUACGAGCUCCAUCAAGACGCCAAUUCUUCCUGACGUACAAGCUCCAUCAAGACGCCAGUUCUUCCUGGCGUACAAGCUCCAUCAAGACGCCAGUUCUUCCUGGCGUACGAGCUCCAUCCACAUGCGAACAAACGCCGCCAAAACAGAUGCCAGUUCGUCCGGCCACAUCGUCCGCACGCGAGCUGUGGGAGUUGCAGCCUCUGCUGAUCGCCUCGCAUGCCGAACCACAACCAGAGCGUCCAAACGCUCGACGGCUGUUGCUGCGACAUCUCCU
Molecule: long non-coding RNA, 847 nt
Filed under: Triticum aestivum (bread wheat)
Lineage: Eukaryota; Viridiplantae; Streptophyta; Magnoliopsida; Poales; Poaceae
Description: long non-coding RNA (TAES_LNC012275)
Source: RNAcentral